GCUCCGUGGCAGGUACAAAGGAGUGAAACUGUGGGUUUGGUUGGUGCUGAGAGUCAGUCUGUGAUCCUGGAGGCAGAAUCACCGGGACCCGCUUUCAAGAGGUUCUGGGAGGAAGCUGCAAACCGACGGAGGUGGUAUCGGAGGUGUGCUAGAGACUGGAAGUUCUGGUAACUAGGGAAGCAGGCAAGGUAACCAGAGACAUGGAUGUGGGAGCAGUUGCUAGGGAGAGGCAACAGCAUCCUGCCAGAUGGUGCCUGACAUCUCCACGGCAUGGAACUCUUUUUUAACAGACUGAGCUUGUUCUUGCAGCACAGGGUCUUAGAACUGCCGUCCGGGGAAGGCAGUUCAGAGCCCAAGAGCCCUUUGAAAUGGACAGGCUUUGGUGGCUACCGAAGCAAGGACUGUGACCAGAAGGCAACACGAAACUGGAGUCUGUGAGCAGACAACAUAGAGAAGCUUCCAACAGAUUCCACGAAGUGGGAGAGUAUGCUAAAACAGAAGACAUCAAAUACAACUUCAUACACUUUCUAGUCCUCCACUGUGGUGCUCAGACACUCUGCAUCUGAGGCUGUGCCAGUCCGUAGUCAUUCAUAAAGCACAGAUCCUGCCAUCCAGAUCCUUGCCAUACGAGCCAAUGGUGUCUUGCCAUUGCCAAAGAUGUUUCUUAGGCUUUAAUGAGCUUCCUAAUGGAACACGCCAAGCCCAGUGACUUUGAUUCUGAAAGAGGUCUUUGGAAACAAAAUGAAACGAGGUGGCUUAAUUUAAAUCUUUAUUUUUUAGCUGUAAAACUCUCAUAAGAAAUAAAUUCUUACCUUUUUCCAAGGACUUACGGUGGCAAACAUUUGAAAAUAUCACAUCUCCUGGCACCAACACCCUUGAAGUGAACUUGAGGGCCCAGCCCCAAUUUCAGGCUGCAUCUGUAAGGGUGGUAAUGAUUACUUGGGCCCUAUUGAAAUAAGAGGAAUACAGUUGCUAUGGAGAAGGUUUAACAUGUUGGUUCCUCUCUGGGAUUCCAAGUAUAACAAACAAACAGGCAGAAAGAUAAAAGAGCUUUCCAGGCUGUGGAGGGGUCAGGAAAACAGAAAUUGUUAUCUGCUUUUGAGAUUGAAACAGGCAAACAGGGGACCAUUCUUAUUCUUGGCAAAAGGCUCUCACUCGUAAAAUAGGUUUUUCUCAGAGAUCCAUCUGAACCCUCCUAACAUGGGACCUUAGAUCUGACAGCUUCUGGGGCAGAAGAAAUAUCUGCGAGACUGGUGUGGUGGAACGGCCGUGGCUGGGAGCUGAGUUGCAGCCGGCCACCUCCGUUCAUUCCCUGCCUUCUUCCUGGAAUGUGUAGGAGGACACAUGAGGCUUG
Molecule: long non-coding RNA, 1354 nt
Filed under: Homo sapiens (human)
Lineage: Eukaryota; Metazoa; Chordata; Mammalia; Primates; Hominidae
Description: HSALNT0203876
Source: RNAcentral